UAAUUAUUUCAAUUUUCUUUUACAAUACUAUUAAACUAUUAUUAAAAUUAUUUUUUCUUUAAAAAUACUAAAACAAAUAUUUUUAUAAUUAUUUUUAAUAAUUUUUUAAAAAAAUAAAUAAAAUAAAUAAAUAAAAUAUAAAUCAAUUUAUAUUGAUUUGCACAAAAAUCUUUUCAAUGUAAAUGAAAUACUUUACUAAAUAAGCUUUAAAUUGCAUUCUAGAUACACUUUCCAGUACAUCUACUAUGUUACGACUUAUCUUACCUUAAUAAUAAGAGUGACGGGCGAUGUGUACAUAUUUUAGAGCUAAAAUCAAAUUAUUAAUCUUUAUAAUUUUACUAUCAAAUCCACCUUCAAUAAAUAAAUUUCAUAUUUAUAUUCAUAAAUAAAUAAUUUUAUUGUAACCCAUUUCUUCUUAAAUAUAAACUACACCUUGAUCUGAUAUAUUUUUUAUUUAAAAAUUAAGAAAAUUAACAUUCUUAUGAAAUAUUCUAAUAACGACGGUAUAUAAAUUGAUUACAAACUUAAGUAAGGUCCAUCGUGGAAUAUCGAUUAUAGAACAGGUUCCUCUGAAUAGACUAAAAUACCGCCAAAUUUUUUAAGUUUCAAGAACAUAACUA
RNAcentral lists this ribosomal RNA (620 nucleotides) under Chirosia flavipennis. RNAcentral describes it as "partial 12S ribosomal RNA". The record is from RNAcentral. Lineage: Eukaryota; Metazoa; Arthropoda; Insecta; Diptera; Anthomyiidae.